AUCUCACUCAUAUGUGGAAUUUAAUGACCAACAGAAACUGAUAAACAAAAAUAGAUCCAGAGACAG
Molecule: long non-coding RNA, 66 nt
Organism: Myotis brandtii (Brandt's bat)
Lineage: Eukaryota; Metazoa; Chordata; Mammalia; Chiroptera; Vespertilionidae
Exons: 3
Source: RefSeq, a predicted model, not a curated record